UGUAUUAGAGGAAGUGUCUGUGUGUGCGUGUGACAGAGGCAAAGCCGCAGGGACCUUGUGCUCCAUAUAGCUUUGCUGACUCCAGAGAAAAUUCUGAGAAAUAGGCCGGAAGUAGGAAGAUGCAUCAUUUUCCUCGGAAAGAAGUAGUCCUCCUGGAUGAGCCGCCUGGGGCUCGCUGACCACAGGUGUUACCUCGCUGGAAGUUGCGCAGCUAAAUACAGGACAAAAGUGGGAUGGAACUGAUGAUGGCCAACGCGAAGGUGAGAAGCCUGAAGUGCGGUCCAGGAGGGAGUGUGGGGAGCGAGCGUAGCUACCGCCUCCCGGGUGUGCUGGGGCUGAGCACACAGAUACAGCAAGGCAUGGGAGUGGCAGGAGUAUUAUCUCCAUUUUAUGGAUGAUGAAACUGAGAGUGAGAGAAGUCAUGCAGUUCUCCACAGUCUUCACAUGGAAUAACCAAGAGCCAAACCUAGAUGUGUCAUUCAGAUCUUUUCCACCGCUGUGGACUACCUCUCAAUAGACAUCCACAGACAGAAGACUCUUCAGACUCCCAGGGAGACCACUGCAGCUGGGUGGGUCCAAUCUUGGAAGUCCCAUUUGUAACCAUGAUGAGGGUGUCUAAAUAUAAUUUGCAACAAAGUCAAAAAACAGGACUCCUAUAAAUAUGUGGCGAACAUGUGUCACAGAUUUAUUUAACUUAUUAAUGAAGGAACCAAUAGAAUGGCAAGGUUCAUUCAAAAAAUACAAGAAACCCUUAAGCAUUACUGAAAGAAUGCUGGGAUAAGAUUGCCAAAUUGCUUACAAGAUUGAUUACCCUAUAAGGCAACAAAAGUAUAGCCUUUGGGUUGUGAUCUAUUCUACCUGACAAAACCAUGGCACUUCUAUGAGAUAAGAAUCAUGGGCAUGACUGUUGGUCUCCUCCAAUUUCACAUAAGACAGUGUCCCAAUUGCUAGUAAAUAGAAGGUCAAAAUAAAGGAAUGUACCCCUAGAGAACAAAAUGAGCCUCAAAUGGCUCUCUUAGAUUGUACCCCAGGUAGUCAUUCUUUUGCCCAACUCCAAGUUUUGGAUACUGUGUCUAAACACAGGGCAGUGAGCUGAUGACCCCCAGAGCUGUUGUAACACGAUGUUGUAAAGCUUGGUGUUUAGGGUUAGGAGACCACCGGGUUCAAAUUGUGGCCCCACCAUUUUGCACGCCUGUGCAAAUCUCUAUACCCUGAGCCAUAGUUUCAUCAUCUGUAAAGAUUUUUUUUUUUUAAUUAGGAUAACAGUAUUCUCUCCUCAACCUCACGGAAUUUGGGCAGGAACUCAUAAGAGUGAAUACAGCAGGACUGGGUGCUUUAUUCUUCUGGCUUCUGAUUGAAGGCGAACCGGCCACUAUCACCAGAAGUCCUUGAUGGCAAACUUCUAAUAUGGCGGGAUACGUCGCUCGGCGCUGAGCUCUCUCCGAUGCACAGGUGCCUCCAGUGAGUAUGUGCCACCUGCAGACCGAGCCAGCAAAACAAGUAUGGCAAAGACUCUGGAGCCCUGAGUCAUGUGAAGGAGUCAGAACUGUUGUGAGGGUGCUUUUGACAAUGAAGCUUUGCAAAGAGAUGCAGUGACCCUGAGUCAUUUCACCAACCAUCCUGGCGCGAGCCCAGAAGGAGACCUCUGUCACAGUCUUCACCAGGGUUUGGCGAACUUCUCCCCCAGACGGCAGGCACUGUAGGCUGAGCAGGCCACAUACAGCCUCUGUGGUUGUAUAUUCUUUGUUUUUAUUUUUAUUUUUGUUGUUUAGAACCUUUUUUUCUUCUUCAACUUUUUUAAGGGGUAAAAGCUCUUCUUGGCUUCCUGGCUGUAUUAGAAUAAGCAGCAGCCCGAGUUUGGCCCGAGGGCCAGAGAUUGCCGACCCAGAUGUGGUGGCCUGGGAGUGGAGAGAACUGCCCCCGCAUCCUGCACUCCUCACCUUCCAGCUGUGUGAGCUCAGGCAAGCGUCCUCACCCCUCUGAGCCUCAGUGUCCUCGGUGAUGACAUUCUUUCACGAAAUACCUCCCUCUCAUGUACUGCCUUGCCGAGCACCCAGGAGUGUUUGUGAGGCUAAAUAAAAUGAAAAGGCCCUGAUACGUGAAAAGAAUGUGGCUUACGGCAGGUCUGCUAUUGCUGGAAACCGAAGGUAGCUGGGGCUGCCCUGGGCAGGGGCCACAAAAGCCAUCUGUGUUCCAUGUCCACAAAGUUCCACGACGAUGGCCUGGCCUUGGGCAGGGCGGCGUGACAGCAUCCCAAGGAUGUGUAUUCAGUGUGUCCACGGUGGGUCCUAUAUUUGUUCAAGGCGUCCUCUCUGAGUCUGACCUGCAGCCAAGGCUGAGUGGCCACCAGAACCACGUCCCACUCCUCGUGGUCUGAAAACUGCCCAUUGUGCCUCUGGUGGCCACAGCGCCCCCCACCCUGGUGCCCACGGAGCCUGGGGACCUUCAAAGCAAAGCCACUUCCCCAGUCAGCUAAGGGUGAGACUUGAGCCUGGGCCGCCAGCUUGGAAGACUGUUUAUGUCCAAAUCAGUAACCCAUAUUUCUCUGAGAGAACGGGGAAGGUAAGCGGGGAGGUGACCAGAUCCACUGUGACUACCCCGGGAAAGGAAGCUGGCAGCUCAGAGCAAGACCUGCUGCAGGCCUGUUGUCUGCCGCGUGCAUUCUCGCUGGCCCCGUUGACAGACACACAGACAUCGAGGCCCAGGAGGUCCCCCGGCCGGCUCGGGCCACACAGUUAAUCCACAGUUUUGAUCGAGAGAGAGAGAGAGAGAGAGAGAGAGAGAGAAAGGCAGUGGUCUCCAGUGAGGCUGGUUUCUCCUGCCAUUACCCUCCUGUCAUCCUGCCAACACUUCCCUUUAUGGCGUUUUCCUGUGGCCGGAGGAUCAGAAUGUUGCAACAUUUAUGGUAAAAUCUCCAAGGGUUGUUUUUUUUUUUUUUUAAUCUCUAAGGCUGAUGAUUAACUCUUAUUAAGAAACAAAUUCCUGCUCCCAUCAUGAGGAUUACACCCUGGAGCAGUUCUGAGCUGGACUCACCCAGGUUGUCACUAAUUCUCUGCUUUAUCCCCAGGUUGUUCCUGUAAAGACUGGAUUAAAAAAAAAAAAA
Long non-coding RNA from Ailuropoda melanoleuca (giant panda), 3103 nucleotides. RefSeq lists it as uncharacterized. NCBI's taxonomy places the organism in Eukaryota, Metazoa, Chordata, Mammalia, Carnivora, Ursidae. The transcript has 3 exons. The record is from RefSeq and is a predicted model, not a curated record.